RNAcentral lists this ribosomal RNA (503 nucleotides) under uncultured soil bacterium. RNAcentral's name for it is "bacterial SSU rRNA". It matches the Rfam family "Bacterial small subunit ribosomal RNA", at positions 27 to 518 of the family's 1533-position model. The record is from RNAcentral.
GGGACGAACGCUGGCGGCGUGCCUAACACAUGCAAGUGGAGCGACGAACCAGGGCUUGCCCUGGAGCAAAGCCGCGAACGGGUGAGUAACACGUGGGUAAUCUGCCCCGAUAACCGGGAUAACCCGAGGAAACUCGGGCUAAUACCGGAUGUGCCCUGCCGGCUCAAGCCGGCUUGGGGAAAGAGCUUCGGCCUCCGUAUCGGGAGGAGCCCGCGGCCCUUUAGCUUGUUGGUGAGGUAAAGCUCACCAAGGCAACGAUGGGUAGCUGGUCUGAGAGGACGAUCAGCCACACUGGGACUGAGACACGGCCCAGACUCCUACGGGAGGCAGCAGUGGGGAAUCUUGCGCAAUGCGCGAAAGCGUGACGCAGCAACGCCGCGUGGGGAAGAAGGCCUUCGGGUGUAACCCUUUCAGGAGGACGAGGUGUGGCGGCGAAUAGCCGACCACAUUGACGGUACCUCCACGAAGAAGCCCCCGGCUAACCUACGUGCCGAGCAGCCGAC